AGACGGGAAGGCAAGUUGGUUGUGAAAUCCCUCGGCUUAACUGAGGAACUGCAACCAAAACUAUCUUUCUUGAGUGCUGGAGAGGAAAGUGGAAUUCGUGGUGUAGCGGUGAAAUGCUUAGAUAUCACGAAGAACUCCGAUUGCGAAGGCAGCUCACUGGACUGCAACUGACACUGAUGCUCGAAAGUGUGGGUAUCAAACAG
RNAcentral lists this ribosomal RNA (203 nucleotides) under uncultured bacterium. RNAcentral describes it as "partial 16S ribosomal RNA". It matches the Rfam family "Bacterial small subunit ribosomal RNA", at positions 573 to 775 of the family's 1533-position model. The record is from RNAcentral.